This 30-nucleotide ribosomal RNA is filed under the name Capsicum annuum. RNAcentral describes it as "partial 18S ribosomal RNA". Lineage: Eukaryota; Viridiplantae; Streptophyta; Magnoliopsida; Solanales; Solanaceae. The record is from RNAcentral.
UUUUGGAAAGUAAAAGUCGUAACAAGGUUU